RNAcentral lists this ribosomal RNA (447 nucleotides) under uncultured bacterium. Its description in RNAcentral is "partial 16S ribosomal RNA". It matches the Rfam family "Bacterial small subunit ribosomal RNA", at positions 29 to 523 of the family's 1533-position model. The record is from RNAcentral.
AACGAACGCUGGCGGCAGGCUUAACACAUGCAAGUCGAACGCCACGCAAGGGGAGUGGCAGACGGGCGAGUAACGCGUGGGAAUCUACCCAACUCUACGGAAUAACUCAGGGAAACUUGUGCUAAUACCGUAUACGCCCUUCGGGGGAAAGAUUUAUCGGAGUUUGAUGAGCCCGCGUUGGAUUAGCUAGUUGGUGGGGUAAAGGCCUACCAAGGCGACGAUCCAUAGCUGGUCUGAGAGGAUGAUCAGCCACAUUGGGACUGAGACACGGCCCAACCUCCUACGCGAGGCAGCAGUGGGGAAUAAUGGACAAUGGGCACAAGCCUGUUCCAGCCAUGCCUCGUGACUGAAAAAGGCCCUAGGGUUGUAAAUCUCUUUCACCGGUGAAGAUAAGGACGGUAACCGGAGAAGAAGCCCCGGCUAACUUCGUGCCAGCAGCCGCAGUGA